GACGAACGCUGGCGGCGUGCUUAACACAUGCAAGUCGAACGGAAAGGCCCUGCUUUUGUGGGGUGCUCGAGUGGCGAACGGGUGAGUAACACGUGAGUAACCUGCCCUUGACUUUGGGAUAACUUCAGGAAACUGGGGCUAAUACCGGAUAGGAGCUCCUGCUGCAUGGUGGGGGUUGGAAAGUUUCGGCGGUUGGGGAUGGACUCGCGGCUUAUCAGCUUGUUGGUGGGGUAGUGUCUUACCAAGGCUUUGACGGGUAGCCGGCCUGAGAGGGUGACCGGCCACAUUGGGACUGAGAUACGGCCCAGACUCCUACGGGAGGCAGCAGUGGGGAAUAUUGCACAAGGGGCGGAAGCCUGAUGCAGCAACGCCGCGUGCGGGAUGACGGCCUUCGGGUUGUAAACCGCUUUCGCCAGUGACGAAGCGUGAGUGACGGUAAUGGGUAAAGAAGCACCGGCUAACUACGUG
Molecule: ribosomal RNA, 468 nt
Filed under: uncultured bacterium
Lineage: Bacteria
Description: partial 16S ribosomal RNA
Rfam family: Bacterial small subunit ribosomal RNA
Source: RNAcentral